RNAcentral lists this ribosomal RNA (380 nucleotides) under uncultured eukaryote. Its description in RNAcentral is "partial 18S ribosomal RNA". It matches the Rfam family "Eukaryotic small subunit ribosomal RNA", at positions 592 to 976 of the family's 1831-position model. The record is from RNAcentral.
CAAUAGCGUAUAUUAAAGUUGUUGCGGUUAAAAAGCUCGUAGUUGGAGUUCUGCCAGGUGACACUCGUCCGCCCAAGUGGUGUGUACAGGGUGUGCAUCUGGCCCUUUCAAGGGGAACGUGUCUGCACUUCAUUGUGUGGUGCGAGAUCCUUGACUUUUACUUUGAGGAAAUAAGAGUGUUCCAAGCAGGCUCUCGUCGUGCAUAGCUCAGCAUGGAAUAAUAGCAUUGGACUUCGUUUCUACGCUGUUGGUUGCAAGAAGCGAGGUAAUGAUGAAGAGGGAUAGUUGGGGGCAUUCGUAUUUAACUGUCAGAGGUAAAAUUCUUGGAUUUGUUAAAGACGGACUACUGCGAAAGCAUCUGCCAUGGAUGUUUUCAUUGA